Molecule: long non-coding RNA, 5381 nt
Organism: Symphalangus syndactylus (siamang)
Lineage: Eukaryota; Metazoa; Chordata; Mammalia; Primates; Hylobatidae
Source: RefSeq, a predicted model, not a curated record
UUAUAGCUACUAUCUCCAACUAAUGUUUGGUAACAUAGGAUGAUCUGCAGGAAUGCUAAGAGAAAGCUUACAUAUAAAUUAUUUUUUUAAAGUCUAGUUACAGCAUAAAAUUUUAAAAACAUUUAAAAUGAAGAAUUGUACAACAUACAAUGGUCAUAAUUUAUAAUGCCUUUCACUGACUUUUUGACCACCUCACAUCCUUCUCUUAUAAUCUGCCCAAAUUAUUAGGCAAUAAAGUAAAGAAAAUUUAAUAUUUCAAUAUGCACAGCAGGAGAUUGUGUCUUUGGUAAUGUUACUUUAAAUACUGAACAAGUUUUCUACUAUUAUCUGUUGUCCUAUUAAAUAUAUCAUUCCUCAAAUGUUAGAAUACAAAGCUGAAAUCAAACAAGAGGACAUGCUCCACUUCUGAUUCUUGAAUAAUUAUUUCUGUUCGUUAAACCCCAUCUUUAUGCUUUGACCAAUAAUACUUCUCUGCCUUGCACAGGUGAAGAUUUGUAUUAUUAAGCCGUCAAAUGAUAGGAUUCCUCAUAAUUUCACAAGGAAAGUAUUAUUAUUCAAGUCUUAUAGGUGCUAAGUUGAGGAGAAGACCGUAUAGUAUUGUGAAUAAUGCUAUUGGUUGGGGACUCAGAAAACAAAGGGUUUGAAUUCCGGGUCUGCAUAUAAUAGCUGAAUGUGUGAACUUGGACAUCCUAUUUAAUCUCUUGAAUUCUCAUUUGUUUCAUUUUAAGAUGUGAAUAUUAUUGGUACUUUCUCAUGUUGCUGUGAAUCAAAUAGAAGAUAAAUGUUUAUGAACUGAAAGUUAUGAGAAUGAAAUGAGUUAAUGCACUGCUGUAUUUUGGAGAUGGUUUAUUUGACCCCUCCAAAUCUCAUGUUGAAAUUUAACCUCCAGUGUUAGAGGUGGUACCUUAUAAAUGAUGUCCGGGUCAUGGGGGAGAGUCCUUCAUGAAUGGCUUAAUGCUGUCCUCAUAGUAACAAUUGUUUUUGCUAUGUCAAUUCCCAGAGAGCUGGUUGUUAAAAAGAGCCUGGUUCCUCCCUCUUCUCUCUCGCUUCCGGUCUUGCCUUGUGAUUACACACCAGCUCCCCUUUGCCUUUGACCAUAAGAGGAUCCAACCUGAAGCCCUCACCAGCAGCUGAUGGUGCCAUGCUUCUUGUAUGGCCUAGAAAACCCGUUCCACUCUGGCACCCAGGCUGGAGUGCAAUGACGCGAUCUCGGCCUACUGCAACCUCCACCUCCCAGGUUCAAGCGUUUCUUGUGACAGCCUCCAAAGUAGCUGGGACUACAGGGAGCAUAAUGGACCAAGGGUACCUGCUGCGCACUUUGAAGUCCAGUCUUGUGUUGCCACUGAGGCCAUGCCUACCAAGGGGUAGUUCCUACCAAUGGUAAAGUGAGACAGGGUCUUACCCGAUCACUCAGACUGGAGUACAGUGGUGCAAUCAUGGCUUAUUGUCGCCUCAGCCUCCUGGACUCAAGCAAUCUUCUCACCUCAGCCUUCCGAGUAGCAGGGACUACAGUUUGCACUGGAGAAUCUAAACUCUUCUGGAGAUGUCCCAAGGCCUAACCUGCACCUCUUCACAGCAUAGGCAAGAAAAUUCUAUCUGACCUUUCUGCCGGGAGGAGGGAAUGUUUAGGCAAAAAUGAGUAACCUAUGAAAUCAGCCACCAGCAUGGCUGUGUCACUGUGGUGCUCCCACAACAACUUGAAGCAUUUUUCAUAUUAAACUUAAUAGCUGACCUGUCUACCCCCUAGCCUGUGAGAUCCUUCAGGGAAGGACUUUCCCUCAUGUUUCACUCACCUCUAUCACUCUAACAACUAGGGCAGGAUAGUAGGGGAGACAAUCAGUAAAUAUUUGUGGACCUGAAUAUGAGUAGAGGGCACUCAAGGAACAGCAAAGGCUUAGAAGUAUCAUAAACUUCAUGUGUCCAGGAGGGAAAGAACAAAAUUUAGUGCAGACAUUUUUACAUCUAAGUCAAAUGUGAAACAUUUUUCAAGCACAAAAUGUUAUAUACAUUCCUCUUCCUCUUCCCAUCCCUAAGUUUCACCUUAUUCCUGCUCCUUACCCUGUCUUUGGACUCUUCUAUCUCAGAGUCUGAUUUCUCCCAGUACCUCAGCCCUUCCUUUCCCUCUCCCCAAUCUUCACCCCACCCUGAAGGGUCAUGGAUGUGUUGAGGUCAAGAUGAGGUGAAGCUCACUGAGGGAGGAAAGAUAAUUGGGCAUCCAGGCAACAGCAAAAACUGACAGCUCAAUGGUUCAAUGUUUACAGCAAAAUGUCCCAGAAUCAAAAUGAUCACCUCAAAAUAUAUAUUCAUAGAACAAUGGCCUAGUUUAUAAUAUCACUUGCAUGAUAUGGAAAAGCAGGAGAAAAGGUUGAAGUGUUAAGAGAUGGUCAGAUAUUAGUGUAGAAAUUUUGUCAGGCAUCAGUAGGGAAACAGAGAGGCUUUUGAGCAGUAAAAUUAGAACAUCACUAUGAAAGAAGGAUUUAAGUGUCAUACAGCAUAUUCAGCCUAGCUUAGAAAAGAAAAGCCCAUAUUCUGGGGCUCCAGUUAAAAGAUUACUGCAGCUCUUCAGAGUAAGGUAAUGUGAGGCCUAAAGGAGAAGAGCCCCAGAAGUAUGAAAGGGGGUGAUGACCAACUGGGCUUGGCAGAUAGCAAAAGGCUCAAAAAGUUGACCCUAAGUUUUGGAUCAUAAAUGCCUGGAAGAAUAUCUUACCUAUUGACAAGGAGCCAUUUUGAAGAGAAAAAUGUUGUUUGAGAAUAUUAAUUUUGAAAUGAUAAGAGAUAUCCAAGUGGAAAUACACAGGAGGGCAGGAAGGCAUCAAAAUUUCGAAGGGUGUGCCACCAGACCUUGAUUAAUGUGUAAAAUUUACUUAGCUCUAACAGAGGCCCAUAUGAUUAUGUCUGUUAGAGGAAGUGUCAAAACAAGAGUGCCUAUCAUGUGAUAGACAGCAGGUAGCCAGUGAAUGAGGGAAAGAUGAGGUAAGAGGUAUAAUCUUUAUGUAAAAAUGGGGGGCUUAACUGGGAUUCAAGAAAUCUUUUCCUCAUAAGUAUGUAAGUGUAAUAAGAUGUCAAGCGAUGUCUAUCUUGUAAUUGUGAUUAAAGGCAAUGGCUGAGAAGAACCUCAUAUUCUAAGAGAGAAGCUGGACAUAUCUCAGGACUUGCCAAAAGGCAGCAAAGAAAUGAGACUACAGAACGUACCAUUGGAUCAGGAGCUGAGAGGGAAAUAAUGAGAGAGAGUAGGUUAACAGUGCAUCUAUGGGGCUAGGAAAGGUCCCAGCAGAACUCUAAAGGACCCACAAAAGCACUCCCAUAGAGCACAAAAUAUCCUCAGAGCACACCAGAACUGGAUAGCAAUAGCACUCUUCAUGGAUGAACCCUUUUUCCCCUUUGCCUCUUCAUUUCCCUGUCCCAACCUGGUGUUACCAAGAGUAACAUAUUGAGGGAGAGGAGAAUAGUAUGUUGCAGCAGUGAAGAAGUGGGCUUUAUCAAUUUCUUAACUGCUAAUCUAUAGAAUUCUUGGGUCAUGGCAUACUAAGACAGAGAGGAACCUAACAUUGUAGGAGAGAUUGGAUGUCGUUGUAGAUUUAUUUUUAAUAUUUGAAAUGAUUCUAUUCUGUUAUUAGUCAGAUAUGGCUAGAAAAGCUAUUGAAUUGGUCUGAGAGUACAGAGAAUAGAGAUCUGGCAGAAUGGCUUGAGGGCAGCAGUGGAUGAAAAAAAACCCUGACUUUAUUGUAUCCUACUUAGUUCAGCUCAUUCAACAACAGAAGCAAGAAAGGUCAGGGCAGUGAAUAUUUCUACUCACAUAGUGACAUAAAGCUUAAGGGAAAUCGGUGAGUGGUGUAAUAAUUGGGUAAAUUUCUUUUUUCAAUUUACAAAAAUUUUUAAAUCAGUAUUGAACUUUUAAUCCCUUCGUGUAUGUUUUAAGUUAUGUCAAAGUAUGUUGCCAACAAAAAUGUUUAGAGAAUCACUGUGGAAGGGAGUAGGAGACAUGGAACUAGAAAUGGGUGGGAUACUGAGGCUAAGCAGUUUUUUAAAAUCAUCAGUACAGAGGUGAGUGAGAGGACCUUUCCCUUAACAAAGAAAUAAUGAGAGAGCAGGUGAAGAGUGCAUCUCUGGGACUAGGAAAGGUCCCUACAGGAGAACUCUGAAGGACCCACAAAAGCACUCCCACAGAGCACAAAGUGUCCACAUAUUCCUAGGUCACCCCCAAAGUACUUGCCUGCUACUACACAAAGACAAGGCUCAAUGGCACCUUCUUCCUUUAUCCCAACUUGAAUUAACUGUUUUCAGCUACUACCUUUAGGUAGAAGUUAAUCAUAUAACCUUAUCCUUAGGUCACUGUUCUAAAGGUGGCUCUUUUGAAAGACUUUGCAAAAAUUCAUACAUUUCAAUAAAUGUUGAGGUUUUUCUAGGCCCAAUCAAUCCAAGAGCCUGGGGGAAAAAUUUUAUUUAAAGUAUGUCAAUUUGGAAAUUUUUGUAGGUUAAUAGUAGUUCUGCAAAGGCCAGGUCUUCUUGGUCUUUGGAGAAAAUUCACCAUUACAUUAAAUUCCCUACACCUCUGUUUCUUCAUUGAAAGAAAGAUGUAUUAAUACAAUUGGCCCUGUGUAUCCAUGAAUUCCAUAUCCAUGUAUUUAACCAACCACAGAUUGAAAAUAUUUGGGAAAUAAUAAAAUACACAAAUUAAAAACAAUACAGCAUAACAAGUAUUUCCAUAGCAUUUGCAUUGUACUAGGCAUUAUAAAUAAUCUAGAGAUUUAAAGCAUAGAGGAAGAUUUGCAUAAGUUAUAUGCAGUACUACAUUAUUUAAUAUAAGGGACUUUAGCAUUGUUGGAUUUUGGUAUUUGCCAGGGUAGGGGGUGGUGUUACUAGAACCAGUCCCCCAGGGAUACCAAGGGACAACUGUACUUAACAAGUUUGUGGAAGGAUUGAAUAAAAUAAUGUAUAUCAUUGCUACACGGUUUCAGAUGAUUUGGAGUCCCCAUACCUUUCCAACUUUAUCUUAUACCAUCUUUUUCCUUUGCUCAUUAUCCUCCUGGAACUUUAGCUGUCUUGCUCUUGGUCAGACACACAAAGCUAUUUUCCACCUCAGGGCUGUUCCAUGUGUUGUCUCUCUACAUGUAAUUUUUUGUUCCUAACCACUAGGCUACUAGGGAACAUAUAAUUUUAUGACUUCAGCUCUUUGCUCCCUCUUGUCUCUCAGCUCAAAUGUUACCCUCUCAAAGAGGUCUUCCCUGGCCUUCUACCUAAAGUUGCUUUUGCUGGAUAUUUGGUAUCUCAUAACCUUGCUUAUAUCUCUCCUAACAUUGUUUUACGACCUAAUUAUUUUGUCCAUUUAUGUAUUUGCUUCACUAUUUCUGGUCUCCUCACACUGGAUUUCAAGAUCUUUG